UCUUUCUUUUGCUGGCGACCGGCGCACGGGUGAGUAACACGUAUCCAACCUACCCUUUACUCGGGGAUAGCCUUUCGAAAGAAAGAUUAAUACCCGAUAGCAUAAUGAUUCCGCAUGGUUUCAUUAUUAAAGGAUUCCGGUAAAGGAUGGGGAUGCGUUCCAUUAGGUUGUUGGUGAGGUAACGGCUCACCAAGCCUUCGAUGGAUAGGGGUUCUGAGAGGAAGGUCCCCCACAUUGGAACUGAGACACGGUCCAA
Molecule: ribosomal RNA, 256 nt
Filed under: uncultured bacterium
Lineage: Bacteria
Description: partial 16S ribosomal RNA
Rfam family: Bacterial small subunit ribosomal RNA
Source: RNAcentral